Cyprinus carpio (common carp) is the source of this 1144-nucleotide long non-coding RNA. NCBI's taxonomy places the organism in Eukaryota, Metazoa, Chordata, Actinopteri, Cypriniformes, Cyprinidae. The record is from Ensembl.
UAGAUAGACAAGAGACUUGGAAUGCAAGGUGUGGACAACCAAGAUAAAGUUAACACUGUGUGUACUGAAGGGAAGGGUGUGUGUGUGUGAAUGGUCUGGAGUGUAAAGGUCAGAGAGUCAAGUUCACUCCCUAAGGAAAAACAUUUCUGGUUUAUAAGUGUGUGCACAGUAUUGUAUCUAGAUUAACUGGCCAAUAAUCUGUUUUCCAGUAUCUGAGUACUUGUCUGUGGUGACAGUCUGUAGUUUCUCACACAUCCACAUAUACAACUUUGACGCUCUUCUCCUCUCCACAGGGCAUCUGGUGCAGGCCUUAAUCCCAAAGUAGCCUGAUGGUUGAGAGCAAGUGAGUGUGUCCAGGCAGACUGGAGCUUAUCUGCUGGAGAAAAAAAAAGCCUGUCCGUGCUUGCUGUUAACACGUCUCGUUCCUGCUCAACUCUGGGAGCUGUGCAGGGUGACCUGGGUUAAUUGCAGCUGCAGAGAUGAACAGCCUGGGUCACCUUCGCUACGAAAGAGAUGGGGAAAAAAUGAGGCACACAUUGUACCUGAACCUGAAUCGUCCCCGAUUGGCCCUCCUUCCGCUUAUCUCUCCGGGUUGCUCCACACCCUCUGCCCGCCGGUGCUGGUCACAUGCUUGACCUGCUCAACUGGCCUGGACCACACCCCGUCCUACAUACCUGCUCCUCACCUGCACUGUACUGAGUGACACUUUUGUAAGUACACACAUACGCACACACACGUACACAUGCAGCUGCAUGCAAGCCUCUUCAGGAAACAAGAGUUUGAGAGAGCGGGCAGCCCAGCCCAGUGGCUGUUUAUUUGCUCUGCCGUGUGCGUGAGGAGAGCUGAUGAUUGGCUCCUCUGUCAUUAGAGCACAUCGCCGUUGCUGUUAAACCUUCAUCUGCUAGAUUAAAAACACAGCAAGCCCUUUAAUGUUCAUGAACUUGCACACUGGAAACAAUUACCUAAAAAUAACAAAAUUAUAAUAACUUGAGCCCCUCUCUGCCAAGGCAAAGGGCAAAUAAUUAGUGCGAGAAAGUGUGUUUUCAUUGUGUAAAGCACACAUGCAGUAGGUCCAAAUUGCCAGUGUCUGUGUCUCAUCUGGUCAGUCAAUAAACUUUGCUGAAAUGCUUCCCUAGUUUAUACC